This 253-nucleotide ribosomal RNA is filed under the name uncultured bacterium. Its description in RNAcentral is "partial 16S ribosomal RNA". It matches the Rfam family "Bacterial small subunit ribosomal RNA", at positions 524 to 776 of the family's 1533-position model. The record is from RNAcentral.
UACGAGGGGGGCAAGCGUUGUUCGGAAUUAUUGGGCGUAAAGGGCGCGUAGGCGGUUUGACAAGUCUGAUGUGAAAUCUAUGGGCUCAACCCAUAGCCUGCAUUAGAAACUGUCGGGCUUGAGUAUGGGAGAGGUGAGUGGAAUUUCCGGUGUAGCGGUGAAAUGCGUAGAUAUCGGAAGGAACACCAGUGGCGAAGGCGACCACCUGGACUGAUACUGACACUGAGGUGCGAAAGCGUGGGGAGCAAACAGG